AUGAUCAAAGCUAGCGGUAGGAAGCGUAAGAGCAAAAUUUUCAGAUUUGUUCAAGAGGAAGGUAUUAUUCAAGGAGAUGAUAAGCUGCUUGAUUAUGCCACUAAUUUUUACAAAAAGUUGUUUGGUCCUGUAGACCUUUUACCAGUUUCUUUGAGCAUUCCUGUUCCUGUUGUCUUGGAUAGUGAUGACAAGAGCAAGUUGAUAUCUAGGUUCUCCAUGGAUGAGAUUAAGCUUGCUGUUUUUUCUAUGAAACAUAAUAGGGCUGCCGGUCCUGAUGGCAUGCCCAUAGAGUUCUUUCAAAAAAUUUGGAAUUUGAUUUGUCAAGACUUAUUCCAAUUGUUCUGUGAUUUUUUCGAGGGCAAGCUCGAUAUUUCUAGACUAAACUAUGGUAUAGUGACUCUGAUUGCCAAAGGGCAGGGAGCUGAAAAGAUCCAGAUGUAUAGGCCUAUAUGCAUGCUUAAUGUUCCCUUCAAGAUCUUUACUAAAGUUCUAAACACUAGGGCUAUGCUUGUUGCACAUAAGGUAGUUUCUCGUAUUCAAGCAGCUUUUAUAAAAGGUCGUUACAUUCUGGAUAACGUAGUUAUGUUACAUGAAACCAUGCACUUCUUACAUAAGAAUAAAGUUUCUGGUGUGUUGUUUAAAGUGGAUUUCGAAAAAGCGUAUGAUAAAAUUAAUUGGCCCUUUAUGCUUUCUGUGUUGGAGAUG
RNAcentral lists this ribosomal RNA (705 nucleotides) under Triticum aestivum (bread wheat). RNAcentral describes it as "partial small subunit ribosomal RNA". The record is from RNAcentral. Lineage: Eukaryota; Viridiplantae; Streptophyta; Magnoliopsida; Poales; Poaceae.